RNAcentral lists this ribosomal RNA (436 nucleotides) under uncultured bacterium. Its description in RNAcentral is "bacterial SSU rRNA". It matches the Rfam family "Bacterial small subunit ribosomal RNA", at positions 29 to 508 of the family's 1533-position model. The record is from RNAcentral.
AGCGAACGCUGGCGGCAGGCUUAACACAUGCAAGUCGAGCGGGCAUAGCAAUAUGUCAGCGGCAGACGGGUGAGUAACGCGUGGGAACGUACCUUUUGGUUCGGAACAACACAGGGAAACUUGUGCUAAUACCGGAUAAGCCCUUACGGGGAAAGAUUUAUCGCCGAAAGAUCGGCCCGCGUCUGAUUAGCUAGUUGGUGAGGUAAUGGCUCACCAAGGCGACGAUCAGUAGCUGGUCUGAGAGGAUGAUCAGCCACAUUGGGACUGAGACACGGCCCAAACUCCUACGGGAGGCAGCAGUGGGGAAUAUUGGACAAUGGGCGCAAGCCUGAUCCAGCCAUGCCGCGUGAGUGAUGAAGGCCCUAGGGUUGUAAAGCUCUUUUGUGCGGGAAGAUAAUGACGGUACCGCAAGAAUAAGCCCCGGCUAACUUCGUGC